AAGAGACCCAAAGCAUCAUCCGGUCACAUCAAUGUCUCCUUCAGGUCACCAGUGGGUUGAGCCUGUCAUCAAGCUAUCCCAGUCCAGUUGCAGUCAUAGAUGACAGACGCACCAGUUGAAGCUGGUAAUAAUGCACACCAACCUCUGAGGUAUUCUGAGCCACAAGCAACAAAGCUGAAUAAUAAUAAUAAUAAUAAUAAUAAUAAUAAUACUUAUACCCUACCCAUCUUGCCAGGUCUACCCAGCCACUCUGGGCGGCUUCCAACAGGAUAUUAAAAACACAAUAAAAGUUCAAGCAUUAAAAACUUCCCUAAACAGGGCUGCCUUCAGAUGUCUUCUAAAAGUCAGAUAGUUGUUUAUUUCCUUGACAUCUGGUGGGAGGGCGUUCCACAGGGUGGGUGCCACUACCGAGAAGGCCCUCUGCCUGGUUCCCUGUAACUUGGCUUCUCACAGCGAGGGAACCACCAGAAGGCCCUCAGAGCUGGACCUCCGGGCUGAACAGUGGGGGUGGAGAUGCUCCUUCACUUUGAAUUGUUCUCGGAAAUGUACAGGAGGAGUACAACCCUAUCCUCUAAUGACCAGCUGGGAUAGAAAGUUCAAGCAGAGAAGGGAUCAAACAUUGCUGGUUUCUCCGCAGUUCUCCUCUAUCUCCGCCUGCCUGCCUGCCUGCCUUCCUCUGCUGCAGCCUGAUGUAAUGACUGCUGCCAGGCGACGGCUAACAAAUAAAAUAUAUGCCACUGUGGUGCUCAAUAAUCAAGACCACUCGACUUCUGCAAUGCACUUCAGCUCUUGGGGGCAGACAAACUCAGGACUGCAUUUCAGAAUUACCGCACUUUUUGCUCUAUAAGACUCACUUUUUCCCUCCUAAAAAGUAAGGGGAAAUGUGUGUGCGUCUUAUGGAGCGAAUGCAGGCUGCGCAGCUAUCCCAGAAGCCAGAACAGCAAGAGGGAUUGCUACUUUCGCUGCGCAGCGAUCCCUCUUGCUGUUCUGGCUUCUGAGAUUCAUAAUAUAUUUUUUCUUGUUUUCCUCCUCCAAAAACUAGGUGUGUCUUGUGGUCUGGUGCGUCUUAUAGAGCGAAAAAUACGGUAGCUUCGUAGCAAAAGAGUAACAACUCACAUGAUGUGUACACUGCAUUUUACUUCUAGGGUAGGUGUAGAAAAGUCUGCAUCCAUGCCAACUCAGUUUGCAUCACACGAAGAAACAGCGGCCGAAAUCCCCUCAUUGUGGGGACCUUUACGUGACCAGUGUUUUCUGUCUUAAACAAAGAGCAGAGAAGUCCCAGAUGGUGGUGGCUUUUAUGCGUCAUCCCGCAGGGCGAUAGUUCAUCCUCUUCCUUGCUUAGCUCAAAUGAAACAGCUAUGGCGAUAAUGUCCUGUGGAACUAAAACUGUACUUUUUCAAUUAAGGAAAAACAGCGUAGAGAGGAAGAAUCAGAGGAAGGGAAUGCUGAGCUCUGCCUCUCUCACAAAUUCCGUGUUUGUGAACACACGUCUGCUGGGAGAACAGUUUGUGUGAAGCAGGCAUUGCAUGCCAGGAUCCAUUUCUGUGAUAAAAGAGCGCAUGUCUUUUCCAGCAGCUGGAAAUCACGGAGCCAGAUGCGACUGCAGUGUGACUUGGCAACAUGAACAUUCGCGUACACGUUCAU
This is a non-coding RNA of Podarcis lilfordi (Lilford's wall lizard), 1644 nucleotides long. The record is from the annotation of a GenBank genome assembly. NCBI's taxonomy places the organism in Eukaryota, Metazoa, Chordata, Lepidosauria, Squamata, Lacertidae.